UGAGCAAUCUGCCCUUCUCAUCGGAAUAAGCGUUGGAAACGACGUCUAAUGCCGAAUACGACCUCCUUUCGCAUGAUCGGAGGUGGAAAGCUCCGGCGGAGAAGGAUGAGCUCGCGGCCUAUCAGCUAGUUGGUGUGGUAAUGGCCCACAAGGCGACGACGGGUAGCCGGCCUGAGGAGGGUCGACCCGGCCACACGUGGGACUGAGACCACGGCCCAGACCUCCGUACGGGAGCA
RNAcentral lists this ribosomal RNA (236 nucleotides) under uncultured bacterium. Its description in RNAcentral is "partial 16S ribosomal RNA". It matches the Rfam family "Bacterial small subunit ribosomal RNA", at positions 118 to 347 of the family's 1533-position model. The record is from RNAcentral.